Chlorocebus sabaeus (green monkey) is the source of this 67-nucleotide microRNA precursor. The record is from Ensembl. Lineage: Eukaryota; Metazoa; Chordata; Mammalia; Primates; Cercopithecidae.
UCCCCCAGUCUGGCCACAGAGCCUUUAAUAUCCAGAGAAUCAGGCCUGCAGCCCUGCCAGGGGUGUG